GCGCCCCGCAAGGGGAGCGGCAGACGGGUGAGUAACGCGUGGGAAUCUACCCAUCUCUACGGAACAACUCCGGGAAACUGGAGCUAAUACCGUAUACGUCCUUCGGGAGAAAGAUUUAUCGGAGAUGGAUGAGCCCGCGUUGGAUUAGCUAGUUGGUGGGGUAAUGGCCUACCAAGGCGACGAUCCAUAGCUGGUCUGAGAGGAUGAUCAGCCACACUGGGACUGAGACACGGCCCAGACUCCUACGGGAGGCAGCAGUGGGGAAUAUUGGACAAUGGGCGAAAGCUUGAUCCAGCCAUGCCGCGUGAGUGAUGAAGGCCCUAGGGUUGUAAAGCUCUUUCACCGGUGAAGAUAAUGACGGUAACCGGAGAAGAAGCCCCGGCUAACUUCGUGCCAGCAGCCGCGGUAAUACGAAGGGGGCUAGCGUUGUUCGGAAUUACUGGGCGUAAAGCGCACGUAGGCGGACUAUUAAGUCAGGGGUGAAAUCCCGGGGCUCAACCCCGGAACUGCCUUUGAUACUGGUAGUCUCGAGUCCGGAAGAGGUGAGUGGAAUUCCGAGUGUAGAGGUGAAAUUCGUAGAUAUUC
RNAcentral lists this ribosomal RNA (585 nucleotides) under uncultured bacterium. Its description in RNAcentral is "bacterial SSU rRNA". It matches the Rfam family "Bacterial small subunit ribosomal RNA", at positions 66 to 699 of the family's 1533-position model. The record is from RNAcentral.